GACGAACGCUGGCGGCGUGCUUAACACAUGCAAGUCGAACGGAAAGGCCCUGCUUUUGUGGGGUGCUCGAGUGGCGAACGGGUGAGUAACACGUGAGUAACCUGCCCUUGACUUUGGGAUAACUUCAGGAAACUGGGGCUAAUACCGGAUAGGAGCUCCUGCUGCAUGGGGGGGGUUGGAAAGUUUCGGCGGUUGGGGAUGGACUCGCGGCUUAUCAGCUUGUUGGUGGGGUAGUGGCUUACCAAGGCUUUGACGGGUAGCCGGCCUGAGAGGGUGACCGGCCCCAUUGGGACUGAGAUACGGCCCAGACUCCUACGGGAGGCAGCAGUGGGGAAUAUUGCACGCUGGGCGGAAGCCUGAUGCAGCAACGCCGCGUGCGGGAUGACGGCCUUCGGGUUGUAAACCGCUUUCGCCUGUGACGAAGCGUGAGUGACGGUAAUGGGUAAAGAAGCACCGGCUAACUACGUG
Molecule: ribosomal RNA, 468 nt
Filed under: uncultured bacterium
Lineage: Bacteria
Description: partial 16S ribosomal RNA
Rfam family: Bacterial small subunit ribosomal RNA
Source: RNAcentral